UACGGAGGGUGCAACGUUGCUCGGAAUCAUUGGGCGUAAAGCGCACGUAGGCGGCCUGAUAAGUCGGGUGUGAAAGCCCUGGGCUCAACCCAGGAAGUGCACUCGAAACUGUCAGGCUUGAAUAUGGAAGAGGGUCGCGGAAUUCCCGGUGUAGAGGUGAAAUUCGUAGAUAUCGGGAGGAACACCAGUGGCGAAGGCGGCGACCUGGGCCAAUAUUGGACGCUGAGGUGCGAAAGCGUGGGGAGCAAACAGG
This 253-nucleotide ribosomal RNA is filed under the name uncultured bacterium. RNAcentral describes it as "partial 16S ribosomal RNA". It matches the Rfam family "Bacterial small subunit ribosomal RNA", at positions 524 to 776 of the family's 1533-position model. The record is from RNAcentral.